RNAcentral lists this transfer RNA (89 nucleotides) under Chlorocebus sabaeus (green monkey). It matches the Rfam family "tRNA". Rfam says of the family: Transfer RNA (tRNA) molecules are approximately 80 nucleotides in length. Their secondary structure includes four short double-helical elements and three loops (D, anti-codon, and T loops). The record is from Rfam by way of RNAcentral. Lineage: Eukaryota; Metazoa; Chordata; Mammalia; Primates; Cercopithecidae.
CCUUCGAUAGCUCAGCUGGUAGAGCGGAGGACUGUAGUACUUGUCGUGUUGUCAUCCUUAGGUCGCUGGUUCGAUUCCGGCUCGAAGGA